UAUUUGACCAUUCAUUGCUUUCUCACCUGUAUUAUAAACGCUGAGGCUAGAGACCUUAGAUUAAUUCCACUCUCCAGCCAUUGCAAAAUCUAGUUUAUUUGUAAGUUUGUAUGUAUUAAAGGGCAGUGUUGCAUGGAGGCAUUUGUUGAAGACUUGGAACUCAAUGGAUUUAUGACAAAAGAUAAAAGAAAAUGAACAGGGUUGGGACAGCAGUAAGUGACAGAAGGAAGCCCAAUGAAACAUACUCAGAGGUGUGGAGACAGAACCAGGAGGGGGCAGCACACGAAAGAAAAAUGUCUGAGAAGGAGAGAUUGGCACCCAGUCUUUAUUGAUUCAGAGGUUGAGGCAGAUGUGUAUGAGAACAUAUAUUAUUUUUAUCAUAAACGAGAGGAUAUAAAAACUUUACGUAGCAGACUGUAUAUAAAAGAACUCACUCUUCCAUUCAGAUUUGCGGAAAUAUUUAUUGAGUGCUUACUGGAUGCCAGACACUAUGCAUAUUAUCUCGUCAUAUUAUAAACAGCGCUGGUCCAAACUUCUGCAGUGGACGUCAUUGCAGGUGAUCUCUGGGGCCCUGGAUGCCAUUCAGAAAUUGGGAGUUUUGUUAUUUCAUGUCACAUUAAGGAGCACAUGGUAUUCGUUUUCCUGGAAAUCUAACUAAGCCCAGAUGUCUGAUUGUGCCUUCUAACAUGUGAAUGGAACUACCAAACAAGGGCUACCUUUCUUCUCAUCCUCUCACAUGCUUUGACCAUAGGCUUGAGUGUUGAAAUUCUUUUUUAAAAGAUGGCUUAAAAGAAUCCUUAUGGGAGUUCUCCUUGUGGCUCAGUGGGUUAAGGACCCAACAUAGUCUCCAUGAGGAUGUGGGCUCAAUUCCUGGUCUCGCUCAGUGGGUUAUGGAUCUGGCAUUGCUGUGAGCUGUGGCAUAGGUCACAGCUGCAGCUGCAAUUCGACACCUAGCCUGGGAACUUCCAUAUGCUAUGGAUGCAUCUAUAAAAAGAAAAAUAAUCCUCACAGAAAGAAGUGAGUGUCUCAUUUCUAAUUCAUAACCGAUAGUAUGUUGUCCAAAUAUCAUGCAAAACCAGCCAGUUUUCUCUUGUCUAAACCCAGGGGUCUUAGCUGAUUAGAGAUAACCACAGCUCUUUUGAAACACACAUAGAUGUUUUUGGAUCCUGCUUCUUAUUUCCUACCUAAGAGUAUAUUGAGAAACAAAAGAUUUAAAUGUCCCCAUGUAAUGACUGGGAGCUGUAUUUUCCUAAAAUUCCCAUUGGGCUAGGAAGCUUAUAAUGAGACUUGGCAAAUUCACUUGAAUGAAUCUCAUUUGUUACUUCAGGUCAAUAAACAUCUUAAGCAGUCUAGGACCUGCAACACUCUCUUUGUCAUGUCCCAUAACUUCUAAGAAGGGCUCUCCCUGGAGAACGGUUAAGCAAAAGACAUGUUAUUCCUGGAGUUCCUGUUGUGGCUCAGCAGUAAUAAACCUGACUAGUAUCCAUGAAGAUGCAAGUCCAAUCCCUGGCCCUGUUCAGUGAGUUAAGGAUCCAGUGUUGAUGUGAGCUGCGGCAUAUUUCACAGACACAGCUUGGAUCCCAAGUUGCUGUGGCUUUGGUAUAGGCCAGCAGCUGUAGCUCCAAUUUGACCCCUAGCCUGGGAACCUCCAUUUUCUGCAGGUACAACCCUAAAAAGACCAAAAAAAAAGGGGGGGGAGGAAUGUAAUCCUUUAAGUCUUAACAUAGGACAUACUUGAGUAAAAAAAUUUUUUUUUUUGUCUUUUUUUUGCUAUUUCUUGGGCCACUCACUGAGCAAGGGCAGGGACCGAACCCACAACCUCAUGAUUCCUAGUCGGAUUCAUUAACCACUGUGCCACAACAGGAACUCUGUUGAGUAAAAAUUUUUAAAAACCUAGAGGAGUUCCCGCUGUGGCUCAGUGGGAUGUUGUCUGUGAGGAUGCAGGUUUGAUCCCUGGUCUUGCUCAGCAGGUUAAGGAUCCAGCCUUACCACAAACUGUGACCUAGGUUCCAUAUGGGGCUUGGAUCUAGUGUUGCCAUGGCUGUGGCAUAGACAGAAGUUGCAGUACCGAUUCAACCCUGGCCUAGGAACUGCCAUAUACCACAGCUGUGGCCUUAAAAAGAAAAAGAAAAAAACCUAGGGAUUUCCCUUGUGGCAUUGUCACUUCAGGUAACUUGUAGCACAGGUUUGAUCCCUGGCUCAGGAAAUUCCGCACUCCUUGGGCAUGGCCAAAAUAAGGGAGAAAAAAACAUUUUUUUAAAAAAUACCUAAAGAAUGAAUCCAUUUGGUGAUCAGGUAUUUUCUUAUAAAAGCUAAAAAUACAUUAGGCAAACUUGUAAAAUUGACCUCAUUAACUUCUUGCAAUUGCAUACACAUUAAUAGGAUUUUUAUUAUUAAUUCUUCUAAUUUGUUGAUAGUAGGCUCCAAAAGGGGUCUUAUUAUUUUUUGGAGUCUAGCUAUGUGUUGAUGAGACCCAUUAAGCAUAAUAGAAUCUGGCAAUUUAUCAUCCAGAUUAAAAGCCCUUUCAGUGUACCCUCUGUUUACCCUUUAUAUGUAGAGGCGCCUCCUGGGCAUCAAUCAAAAGCUAGGUGUAAUUUCCCAGAUUUCUCAGUAACAGAAUCUCUGCGUGGGUAGGCAUGUCCUUCCUGUCCUGCACUGCCCUUUCUCCUCCCCACAUUACAUGAAUACCUAAUUCUUUUCAGGACUUUGUAUAAAAUACACAGAGUUAAGCUGUUUGGGUAAAUGCAAUCUUGCCUUUUUUAUCAUUUUUUUUCUCAAGCCUUUUCUGGUCCUAUUUCUUCCCUUGAGCCUUGUUCUGCAGGGAACUCUCAGAAAUCAAUGCCCUUUACAAAUGCUAAAUGUCUCUUUCUUGCUAUGAAUGGGACAUUAGUCCCCUAAGGUCUCCUGUCUUUCCCCAUCAUGAGUAAUGGGAUUGUAAUUUCAUCAAGGUCUCUGAUGACAUCAAAACCCCUACCAGUGAAAGGUUAAGUGGAUUUGGAUAUCACCUGAUCUCUGAGAUGAAAUUCAAACCACUGUCUAUGUAAAGGGUAAGAGGCAGUGGGGUCUCAGCUAAACUGGCCACUCUGAUCCAGUAGAGGUGUUGCCCAGACCAGAUGAAGAUAAUACAUCAUUUCUUAAGAAACACUUCAGAUAAAAUAUAAAAUACCUAAGCAGGCACGGGGAAGACACAAUUAGUUGUAUUUUAGUCCAUGCUCCAUGUUUAUAAUCUCCUGUUCCUUCCUUCCCUCCUUCCUGUGCCAGCACAAAGACAACGCCAGAUCAUUAACCCACUGCACCACAGCUGGAACUCCAUCCUUACGGUUUUCUUGAAGAAAGCUGUCCAUGGCUUCUGUUUUUUCCACAUCAAAUCUAAACCACUCUUUCCUUCUUUCGAAGCCUCCCACAAUCCAGUCCUCUUCCCUUUCCUCCCCAGCACCUACAGACUUAUUCUAUCAUCAAUCCUUGGUCAUGAAGUCUGGUUAUGCGUUAUCCCCCCCAGCCAUCUUAGCCUUUUCAGAGCACAUCUAUCUUUUACCUAGGAAGCCUUCUUUGGUACUUCUGUCUUAUCUUCUACUCUCUGUAUUCAGAGGGAUUUGUGAUAUGUCUGGUGUAAUGUUAUAUGUUAUUCUCUUUUAUUUGAGAUUUAUAUGUACUCCCUACCCCCAACACAAAUACACACACACAUUUCUUAAAGUAUUUGCAGCAGUUACUUAAGUAGAUAGUAUCUUAUAAUAGUUGACCAUUGCUUCCUACUUAUAUUUCUUAUUUCCUCUCCCUGUCCUGAGAGUCAUUAGCUCUCAGGACAGGGAUCAUACUUCCUGCUUCAUUUUGAAGUAUGGCAUGGAAAAAUGGAGAGGACACAGGGACUAGGGGUCAAAGGACUUGAGUUCAAAUGUAAUUUUGCUACAAAUUAAUAGUGUGACUUUGGUGAAUUAUUGGAACCCUGAGGGACAAAAUUAUAUAUAUACAUUCUUAAUAAUUACAUUUUCCAUCAAGGAAAGAGCUUUUUUCCCCACAAAAUUAAUACACUCUCAUUGUAAAAAAAAUUCUCAUAGUAAAAAACCUCACAUAAUAAACACCUAAAGAAGAAAUUUUAAAAAUCAACUGAAUUUGCACUACGCUGAGAUAGAUCCUGUAUUUACAUUCUAGCAUUUGUCAUUUUAUAUUGAUUUUUCUUAUCCAAGUGCUCACAUGGGUAAGAGACCUAUCUAUCCAUCUAGCCAUCUAUCUCACUCUCUAUUUAAUUUAUGGCGAAGACACUUCUUAGCAGCUUUUCUUACUUAAUGUAAACAUACUUGACUUCACAAAAUUAUUAUGGCAUCAUAUGAUAUUAAAGCAUAUAGAGUCCCUUCUCAAAAAUGCACUUUAGAGAAGGAUAUAGAAAUAUACAUACAAUACUGACUGCUGAAAGAGAUGUAUCAUCUCCAAUGUAUUACCUUCGAUAAGAUAUUCCUACCUUUGGUACAGAAACUUUCAUUGAACCCUGACUUCCUCAUUGAACCUUUGCUUGCUGGCUUCAGUUCCGUGGAUGGGGCUGAGGGCUCCACUUGCAGCAUCUCGUGAGCUCCAGGUUUGCCUCAACCUCAGGGAGGCACAGUCCCUUAGCUACAAUCCUAACAUCCAAAAUGCUCUAAAACCCUAAAAUUUUCUUUCUUUCUUUUUUUUUUUUAAAGGUUUGGUCCAACUCAAUCCACAGAAAAACCUGAUGUAAACUAGUGUGGGCAACCUAUAGUUCUUGCAUAAUUUAUCUGGUGCAAACAUUUACAUUUCACUUCAAAAUAUGAAUAUAUUUGGAAUUCCCAUUGUGGCUCAGCAGGUUAAUAAGCCAACAUAGUGUCCAUGAGGAUGUGGAUUUGAUCUCUGGCCCCUAUCAGUGGGUUAAGGAUCUGGCAUUGCUACAAGCUGAGGUGUAGGUUGCAGAUGUGGCUAGGAUCCAGCAUUGCUGUGGCUGUUGUGUAGACCUGCACCUGCAGCUCUGAUUUGACAUCCAGCCUAGGAACUUCCAUACGCCACAGUUGCGACCCUAGAAAGAAAAAAAAUAAAUGUAUUUGACUAUGAGUACCUGCCCAAGUCUUCCCUGGGAGUGAUGCAUAAUACAGAAUACACAUUCUCUAUUAACUCACUAAUAAAUACAAACUCUCCUAGAUUCCAAAACACAUCUGGUACAAAGAGUUUUGCAUAGCAGAUUGUAGCCUGGUCCUAAAUUUAAGAGAUCUGUGAUCCCUGUGGCUAAAGUCAGCACUUUGUUUUUCUGGUUCAGGAUCAUUAAAAAUAAAUAAGGGUGUUGGGCAUCACAGCUGCGGUUUUCAAACUUGUAUUUUCUUUUUGGGCUUCAGAAAACACCUUCAAAUAAAAUCUUACCUAGAAAACCAGCCUGUUGCUGAGGUUCAAGUCUAGUUCCUCCCCUUGGGGGGAAGCCCAGAGAUUAGGGUCUGCUGGGUCCUUCCUCCACCCACCUCAAGGUCAUCUCUGCUCUGGUGAAAAUAGUUGCAGUGAAAGUUGAGCGUUGUGACUCAGCAGUAAGGAACCCAACUAGUAUCCAUGAGGAUUUGGGUUCAAUUCCUGGCCUUGCUCAGUGGGUUAAGGAUCCAGCGUUGCACGGGCUGUGCUGUAGGUCAUAGAUGUGGCUCAAAUCCCACAUGGUUGUGGCUAUGGCUGUGGCAUAGGCCAGCAGCUACAGCUCUGAUUCCACCCCUAGACUGAGAACUUCCUUGUGCUGCAC
RNAcentral lists this long non-coding RNA (5722 nucleotides) under Sus scrofa (pig). RNAcentral's name for it is "lncRNA (ENSSSCG00000056493.1)". The record is from RNAcentral. Lineage: Eukaryota; Metazoa; Chordata; Mammalia; Artiodactyla; Suidae.